UACGAAGGGGGCUAGCGUUGUUCGGAAUUACUGGGCGUAAAGCGCGCGCAGGCGGUCUUCCAAGUCAGUGGUGAAAGCCCGGAGCUCAACUCCGGAAUUGCCAUUGAAACUGUUGGACUUGAGGAUGAGAGAGGUGAGUGGAAUUCCCAGUGUAGAGGUGAAAUUCGUAGAUAUUGGGAAGAACACCGGUGGCGAAGGCGACCAACUGGACCGAUAUUGACGCUGAGGCACGAAAGCGUGGGUAGCAAACAGG
RNAcentral lists this ribosomal RNA (253 nucleotides) under uncultured bacterium. Its description in RNAcentral is "partial 16S ribosomal RNA". It matches the Rfam family "Bacterial small subunit ribosomal RNA", at positions 524 to 776 of the family's 1533-position model. The record is from RNAcentral.